AUUACUAAUUAAUGCAUACAAAAUUUACAAAGUAUAAAAAUUCUUUAUAAAAAAAAUAUAAAUCUAAAAAUCAAUGUGAUUUUUGGCAUUGCAUUUCAUUAGCCAUUGCUUCAUAGUUAGGAGAGUAUGAUGAUAUUCUUGUUUGUAAGCAAUUGUCAAGGUGUUCAUCUGUAAGUUGUGAUCUGUACUUUGAUUUUAUGAUAUUCAUUGUCGAAAACAAUGAUUCACACAAGUAUGUGGAACCAGAAAAUGAUUUUGUUUUAUAGGCUGCUCUUUUCAAGAAUGGAAAUUUGUUUCUGUCAACUAUAUUCUAGAAAUUCUCAUCUGAUAGAUGGUAUUUUAGGACAAUGUCAUUCUGAAGAUCAAAAUUUCUAGUUCCAGUUCUUGUCCUUACUUGAGCAAGCUCUGAAAUGUAUGUAGCUAGUUUGAUUACAUUUACUUGGUAAGUAAAGGACUGACAAAAAAGGUGAUCAUUGGCUCGAUGAUAUUAAAUUGUUUAAAGUGCUUUUCAAACUGGUUUUGAAGUAAUUGAAGGUUCAAUCGGCAAUGUACUACAACGGGUUAAAGUGAACAAAAAACAACGUACCAGGAACCUGUUGCCAGUGUGCUUCUCGGUAAAAACAAAGUAUUACAAACGUUUCAAACUUGUAAGUUUUUCUUCAGGUAACAGACGUCUAAGCGAAUGCCAUUCAAAUUCAAUUCAAAUAAGAACACCAUUAAGAAUUCUAUCGCAUGUAUCAAUAGCGUCAUUGACGCAUGCGCCCCUUUGCUUGUUGUAAAUUAUUGUAAGUUCUUGUCUACGAGCACCUGCCAUGCAGUUGACAGGGUGAUUUUGUCUUUGUUGUUAAUACAAUUGUCGUCUUUUAGUGUAGCCAUACAUAUGCACAGGGCCUCUAGCCAUCUAAGGUGGUGUGUGUAUUUUGUGGUGCGGAUUACCUGGCCUGGCUGAAUAACGGCUCUACUUCUGUAUGUGAGGCAUAGAUGGCUGGAGCGGUGGUUUGCCUUGCAUGUAGAAUAUUUGCCAUGUGUUCUUUAAUUGAAGGUUAAUAACAAAUGUUGACAAGUAAAUUUCACCGUCGUCUAUCAUUUUUUUCAUAUUUGGAAAAUGCACAAGGGACUUUAUCUACAGAUGUGAUAUCCAAAACCAGUUUAGCUUUAAACGACUUUAUAGACCUUAUCAUUGCAGCUAUAUGUUUGUCCUUUCCCUGCAGCUCUAAGUUUAAACAAUUUAGUUUUUCCAUUAUGUUUGUGAAAAAAGUCAAAUCUGCUAGCCAAUGAGGGUUUUUUAGUUCAAAAAAAUUUUGAUCUUUGGCAUUGAGAUAAUUUUUUAUUUUUUCAAUUGAAUUUACAAAUCUAGCAAGAACUUCGUCUUUACUGAGCCAACAUACUUCAGUAUGCAGAAUGAGGUCAGGAUCUUCAGGAUUUUCUAAUAGGGCCUUGAAAAGGCAGUGUUGCAAAGGAGCUGCGCGAAUUAAGUUGACUAUUUUUGUAAUUAUUUUAAUGACGUGUCCGAAGGGUAGUAUUCUACCACACACAACUUUCUGGUUGAUAAUACAAUGAUACAACAUAAAUUUUGGAAAUGAUUCAUUUUUUCUGCAGAGGGCAAUAAAUUUUUUGACCUUACCAACCAUUGCUGGUCCCAUCAGUGGUUAUCGCAGACAGCUUCUGGAAAGGCAUAUCUAUCAACUUUGCAUAUGUUAUAAAUAUUUUAUAGAUAUCUUUACCCGUUGUCUGUCCUUUCAUAGAUAAUAUUUUUAGAUUUUCUUUUACAGUAAAGUCACUAAAUACUAUUUUCACCAUAACUGCUGACUGUAAUGUGUGAUAUGUCUGUAGACUCGACAAAUUGUAGUGAGAUCUACUCACAUUUCCACAUCACUCUUUAAGUGAGUUUGCAUUUCCUUUGAAAUGGCUUGUAUUUUUCUUGUAAUGGUGUUAUCUGACAACUGUAAGUCUUGUAUUGCUGACAUGAUCUCACGUUUGUUGGAAAAUCCCUCAAAUAAGCAAUUGGUGCCAGUAAGAAAUGCUUCUUUUAACAACUCACCAUCCUGGAAAAGCUUUUUCUUCUUUGCGAGUAUGUGAGAAACUUUUAAAGAAGCUGUUGUAUAAAAAAUGAUGUUGUGAUGAUGGUGGUAUGAAAUGUUCCCGUUUACACGGUCUUAAUUAAUUAAAGAACACAGUACAUACUUUCCUUGUAACAAUAACAAUACAAUGAUACUUUAAUGUCUCCAAAUCAGCGAGUGACUCUCUGGCACUCCACAAUUGAGCAACACUCAGGCACCCGACAAUUAUUGGUAAUUACAACACUGGUUCCUGACCAGCCACACAGCUACCUACUCUGGUUAGCUCCCCUGUCAGUACUGCCUCCACACACAACACUGACCCUACACACACCCAAAGGAAAGUGCACAAAUUUUUCCUCUCACCAAUUCUCCCUCUCUAGGUGGGACAAUCUCUCCCACAUUCUUGGGGAUACUGUUACCUCACCCACCUGACGUGUGACAAAGCUGUGGACUGUCCAUUACCACUUGCUGACAUCCACACACCUGACACGUGUCACAACUGAACUAACAUUUUCCCGGCUUGAACCUUCCAAGGUUCAACAAGUUAUCUAUACAUACAUACAAAACAACAACUUUUUUUUUACAAAAUACAACUUCAGUUCUCCAAAGGUAGAACACCAAUUUUCGAUAAACUGUAUUUAAAUACACCAUUUUUUGUUUUUACACUUACAACUCUUACUUUACAGUCAGACCCUGGGAAAACUUCUGUAAUUCUUCCCACUAACCAUUUAAAAAUAGGUAUAUUAUCUUCCUUGAUAAUGACUAAUGUCCCUAUUUUAAUAUUAUCUCUUUCAGUCAUCCACUUAUUCCAUUGUUGUAAAUUAUUUAAGUAUAUAUUAAUCCACCGUUUCCAAAUGAUUUGCGUCAUUUUUGUUACACGCUACCAAUGUGAAAGUCUAUUGUCUGAUAGAGAUUUGAGAGCAAUGUCUGGUAGCAUGUCAAUUGGUCUACCUAUUGACCGUAUCUAAAAGUAAACAAAGCCUGGGGCUGGUCACGUGAUUGGACCUAGUUGAACUUCCGGUAGAACGUGAACGGUGUGUUAAUAGUCGAUGCGAAAGACCUUGUGUGUAUCAGUUACAAUCAUUUCUGUUCCGAAAAAUGUCCAGCGAAUAUUAUAAAGGUUUAGAUGAAUUAAGCAGGUAUAGGUAUAAGCAAAAAUUAAUGUUCAACAAGCAAGAACUGCCCGAUCCAAUGGACGACGAUUUAGCAAAAAUGUUAUUUCACGAUAACGUGAAAGCAUGGCCUAAGAUCACGUUAGUAGAUCUCUAUGCCUACUUUGUAGACCAGCUCUGCUUUUACACAAAACAACAACUGAAAAAUUAUACUUCACUUGAGAGUUAUAAUUACCUAGUGAGUGGAAAGGUGAAAGAAAUCACUGUUUACCCGUUGACGGAUCUGAAGCUAAAGAAAUUCUGAAGACUCUAACCUCUUGUUUCACAACCCGUGAUCUCGAGUUUGUAAACAACUGCCCAAAACAUUUUUUCCCUAGAUUUGCAUGUUAAAAGGAAAAAUACAGUCUGGGCAGAAGAAGACGUUUCAACAUCCCUGGGCAGUGGUGCAAAUUAAUGGAGUUAUUGUAAGCGGUCACUGCACAUGUAUGGCUGGGUAUGCAAAUUUUAUAUUAAUAUUAGAAUAUUAUUAUUUACUGACCCAGAUAUAAUUUUAGUCUUGGUGAAAGUUGCAGCCACCUUGGUGCAUUACUUUUAACAAUAGAAGCAACAGUGAAAGCUAAUGAAGAAACUCCAUGCACUUCUCUUCCAUGUUCAUGGAAGAAAUUUAACAGAGAGGUAAUAAUGUUGUGUAAUGGCACCGUUAUUAAGAAUCAUUAUGUAAACUGUUUUUAUUGUGUGAUUUUUAUUAAAAUUAUUCAUUUACAUAAUGUAGGUUGAACCAAGCCAAAUUUCAAAUAUUUGUUUUUCAAAAUCAAAGCACAAUAAUCCAUUCCUACUAAACAAAAAACAAAAAACAGACAU
RNAcentral lists this unclassified non-coding RNA (4033 nucleotides) under Centruroides sculpturatus (bark scorpion). RNAcentral's name for it is "uncharacterized LOC111641266, transcript variant X1". The record is from RNAcentral. Lineage: Eukaryota; Metazoa; Arthropoda; Arachnida; Scorpiones; Buthidae.